AGGGGUCCGCCUGCCCAGUGACCUCAAAGGUUAAACGGCCGCGGUAUCUUGACCGUGCAAAGGUAGCAUAAUCACUUGUCUUUUAAAUGGAGACCUGUAUGAACGGCAAAACCUUUUCAAACUGUCUCCCUCCCUAACCUUUUAAACUCCUUUUCACGCGAAGAAGCGUGAAUAUAUCAGAAAGACGAGAAGACCCUGUCGAGCUUCAGCCAACAAGUGAGCUAACAAAACCUAUGUAUUAACAUCACCCAAAGGCUUUGGUUGGGGUAACCAUGGAGAACAUUAAUCCUCCAGAACAAGCAGACGAACUCUCUUCCCUACUAAACGAACUAAAGAACCAGGAACUGGUAAUCGGAAAAAGUUACCGCAGGGAUAACAGCGUCAUCCCCUUUAAGAGUCCUUAUUGACAAGGGGGUUUGCGACCUCGAUGUUGGAUUGGGGCCCCCUUAGGGUGCAGAAGCUCUAAACGGUUAGACUGUUCGUCUAUUAAAGCCCUACGUGAUCUGAGUUCAGACCGGAAUUA
This 523-nucleotide ribosomal RNA is filed under the name Holothuria leucospilota. RNAcentral describes it as "partial 16S ribosomal RNA". It matches the Rfam family "Bacterial large subunit ribosomal RNA", at positions 1849 to 2624 of the family's 2925-position model. The record is from RNAcentral. Lineage: Eukaryota; Metazoa; Echinodermata; Holothuroidea; Aspidochirotida; Holothuriidae.